UACGAAGGGGGCUAGCGUUGCUCGGAAUCACUGGGCGUAAAGGGUGCGUAGGCGGGUCUUUAAGUCAGGGGUGAAAUCCUGGAGCUCAACUCCAGAACUGCCUUUGAUACUGAAGAUCUUGAAUCCGGGAGAGGGAUGUGGAAUUCCAGGUGUAGCGGUGAAAUGCGUAGAUAUCUGGAGGAACACCGGUGGCGAAGGCGACAUCCUGGACCGGUAUUGACGCUGAGGCGCGAAAGCCAGGGGAGCAAACGGG
This 253-nucleotide ribosomal RNA is filed under the name uncultured bacterium. RNAcentral describes it as "partial 16S ribosomal RNA". It matches the Rfam family "Bacterial small subunit ribosomal RNA", at positions 524 to 776 of the family's 1533-position model. The record is from RNAcentral.